Molecule: transfer RNA, 82 nt
Filed under: bacterium
Lineage: Bacteria
Also listed under: 2 other names
Description: tRNA-Tyr
Rfam family: tRNA
About the family: Transfer RNA (tRNA) molecules are approximately 80 nucleotides in length. Their secondary structure includes four short double-helical elements and three loops (D, anti-codon, and T loops). Further hydrogen bonds mediate the characteristic L-shaped molecular structure. tRNAs have two regions of fundamental functional importance: the anti-codon, which is responsible for specific mRNA codon recognition, and the 3' end, to which the tRNAs corresponding amino acid is attached (by aminoacyl-tRNA synthetases). tRNAs cope with the degeneracy of the genetic code in two manners: having more than one tRNA (with a specific anti-codon) for a particular amino acid; and 'wobble' base-pairing, i.e. permitting non-standard base-pairing at the 3rd anti-codon position.
Source: RNAcentral
GGUGGGGUACCGAAGCGGUCAAACGGGGCAGACUGUAAAUCUGCUGGCUCAGCCUUCGUAGGUUCGAAUCCUACCCCCACCA